GAGCCUUCUUCUCUAGUCAGGCGCCCUUCCCUAACUCCUUCUUCCAGACGCAUCCCCAUAUUCACCAUCUCGGUGAAGUCAGAAGGAGCGCUGGCAAUCAUUCGCUCAUAAUAGAAUGAACUCAAGGUCUUCAGAAAGAUCUUGGUCAUCUCUUUCUCUUCUAGCAGAGGCACGAUCUGUGCAGCCAACUCUCGCCACAUCUGGGCGUACUCCUUAAAAG
Molecule: long non-coding RNA, 220 nt
Filed under: Lathyrus oleraceus (garden pea)
Lineage: Eukaryota; Viridiplantae; Streptophyta; Magnoliopsida; Fabales; Fabaceae
Description: Pisum sativum (pea) long non-coding RNA (PSAT_LNC006082)
Source: RNAcentral